RNAcentral lists this ribosomal RNA (1346 nucleotides) under uncultured bacterium. RNAcentral's name for it is "partial 16S ribosomal RNA". It matches the Rfam family "Bacterial small subunit ribosomal RNA", at positions 28 to 1381 of the family's 1533-position model. The record is from RNAcentral.
GACGAACGCUGUCGGCGUGCUUAACACAUGCAAGUCGAACGGAAAGGCCCUGCUUUUGUGGGGUGCUCGAGUGGCGAACGGGUGAGUAACACGUGAGUAACCUGCCCUUGACUUUGGGAUAACUUCAGGAAACUGGGGCUAAUACCGGAUAGGAGCUCCUGCUGCAUGGUGGGGGUUGGAAAGUUUCGGCGGUUGGGGAUGGACUCGCGGCUUAUCAGCUUGUUGGUGGGGUAGUGGCUUACCAAGGCUUUGACGGGUAGCCGGCCUGAGAGGGUGACCGGCCACAUUGGGACUGAGAUACGGCCCAGACUCCUACGGGAGGCAGCAGUGGGGAAUAUUGCACAAUGGGCGGAAGCCUGAUGCAGCAACGCCGCGUGCGGGAUGACGGCCUUCGGGUUGUAAACCGCUUUCGCCUGUGACGAAGCGUGAGUGACGGUAAUGGGUAAAGAAGCACCGGCUAACUACGUGCCAGCAGCCGCGGUGAUACGUAGGGUGCGAGCGUUGUCCGGAUUUAUUGGGCGUAAAGGGCUCGUAGGUGGUUGAUCGCGUCGGAAGUGUAAUCUUGGGGCUUAACCCUGAGCGUGCUUUCGAUACGGGUUGACUUGAGGAAGGUAGGGGAGAAUGGAAUUCCUGGUGGAGCGGUGGAAUGCGCAGAUAUCAGGAGGAACACCAGUGGCGAAGGCGGUUCUCUGGGCCUUUCCUGACGCUGAGGAGCGAAAGCGUGGGGAGCGAACAGGCUUAGAUACCCUGGUAGUCCACGCUGUAAACGGUGGGUACUAGGUGUGGGGUCCAUUCCACGGGUUCCGUGCCGUAGCUAACGCUUUAAGUACCCCGCCUGGGGAGUACGGCCGCAAGGCUAAAACUCAAAGGAAUUGACGGGGCCCCGCACAAGCGGCGGAGCAUGCGGAUUAAUUCGAUGCAACGCGUAGAACCUUACCUGGGUUUGACAUGGAUCGGGAGUGCUCAGAGAUGGGUGUGCCUCUUUUGGGGUCGGUUCACAGGUGGUGCAUGGCUGUCGUCAGCUCGUGUCGUGAGAUGUUGGGUUAAGUCCCGCAACGAUCGCAACCCUUGUUCACUGUUGCCAGCACGUUAUGGUGGGGACUCAGUGGAGACCGCCGGGGUCAACUCGGAGGAAGGUGGGGAUGACGUCAAGUCAUCAUGCCCCUUAUGUCCAGGGCUUCACGCAUGCUACAAUGGCUGGUACAGAGAGUGGCGAGCCUGUGAGGGUGAGCGAAUCUCGGAAAGCCGGUCUCAGUUCGGAUUGGGGUCUGCAACUCGACCUCAUGAAGUCGGAGUCGCUAGUAAUCGCAGAUCAGCAACGCUGCGGUGAAUACGUUCCCGGGGCU